UGGUUUUUGUCUCUCAGUCUGUUUAUGUGGUGGAUUUACAUUUCUCGAUUUGCAUAUGUUGAACAAUCUCACAUCUCUGGGAUGAAGCCAACUUAAUGAUGGUGGAUAAUCUUUUUGCAAAAGAAGGCUGGCUAACACAGCUGACGUAUACGGAUCAAUGCGAAGGUGGAGACACUCUGCAUAUACUGCUUGCUUGGAUUUAUUGCAAAAGCAUUCCAAGCAUUUCUUGUCAAUUCUGACUGAAAUGAAUUCCAAGGACUUCCUGGAUCAGCCUCAUUAACGAAGCAAAGAAGUUCGAGUUUCCCUUGACUUUCCAAAGGAACAAAGAGUAUGAAGACUGCUGCAGGCACUUUCAGAUCCUUUGGUACACUGAGCACAAGCUUUCUGGAUGUGUGAAGAGAAGAUGGCCCAUGAAGCACCUUAUGAGACCCCAGCAUCUCAACAACCUCUGCCCAAACACUGAUGGGACAGCCAGAUGAAGAUCUCAUUCAGGAGGUUGAAACUGGAAAAGAUGAAGUUUGAAGUGCAAGUUUCUGGUUUCUUUGAAGACUCAGUUGAGGCGUGUGAUGUUUUGCUAGAAACUGUCUUGUGAGAAGAGAUGUGAUGUUUUGCUGUGAGCUUCUUGUGAGAGAGGUGUGAAUCUAUUCAGCUGAGAACAUCUGUGGGUGGGCUCUGAGGAGAGGCAACAUAUUAGAAGCCCAUGACAGUAAGACAUCACUUUUUGGAUCAACAUCACCGCACUGAUCUUAGUGCUUUGAAACCUGACUUCGUAGAGAGAAAGGUUCCAGAGAACUUCUUGGGGCAAUUCAAGAAUCUUGUAGCUUUUGCUGAUUUUUCCCGAUCUUCUGAAUCAUGCUGAUUUGUGUUGCUGUUUGGUGUUGGCCUUUGGACUGAACUGCUGGCCUCCGGACAAUGAAGAGUGGACUCCUCCCAAAGAACUGUGUCUAAAAUGUCUACGCUCCCCUUUACCUAAUAACCUCCCUUCUUCUCUUUCUCUGGUUAGUGGGUGGAAGGGAGGUAGAAGCACUUAAGAACCCUAAAUAAAGAAG
Long non-coding RNA from Meriones unguiculatus (Mongolian gerbil), 1049 nucleotides. RefSeq lists it as uncharacterized. The transcript has 4 exons. NCBI's taxonomy places the organism in Eukaryota, Metazoa, Chordata, Mammalia, Rodentia, Muridae. The record is from RefSeq and is a predicted model, not a curated record.